UUGUAGAGAAGAAGAAUCUAUAUAUAUAAAAGGAUAGUGGGCAGGGGUCUGUGAAAAGAGGAGUUGUGAGGGAGGAAAGAGCCCCUUCAGGAGAAGGAGGCUGCCGUUGUGAAAAUUAGAUGAGGAAACAAGUUGAACAAGAUCUCUUAUCUCAAGAAGAGAGAGAGAGAGAGAGAGAGAGAGAGAGAUGGGAAGAGAGAGCGGAGGAGAGAGAAAGAAAGAAAAAGAAGGGAGGGGGAAGAGAGAAAGAAAGAUGGGUGAGGGGUGGGCCUGAGCCUGUCAGUGGCCUGAGGGAACAAGUGGUCAUGGUGGUGGCAGCAGCAAGGAAGGGCCCAGUCAACCACUGCUGCUGUUUUGGGCUACUGAGGGCAUUGGCAGAGGGAGGCAGGCAGGCAGGCAAGGGACAGGCUCGGGCUUGUCAGCAGUCUGAGGGGAAUGAGCGGCCAUGGCAGUGGCGUCAGCGAGGAACAGUCAACCACUGCUGCUGCUGCUCUUGUGGGGAGGAGCAGGAGCAGGGCUCGGGUGGGGAGGUCUCUGGGGCAUAGGAGGUUGUAGCUUGACCAAUAGGUUCCAGCAAUGCUGCAGCUGCAACCAAGAGAGGUGAGGGGGGUGGAAGCAAUGGGAUGGAGGAAGAGAAGCAGGAGUGCAGCUCAGGUGAGGGUGAAGAGAUCUAUGAGAUGUGCUUUAUAACUAGAUUAGGAGCAAAUGGGGCUUUUCAAAUUGGAGCAUUCAUUGCUCUUGAACGAUGCAGGAAUCCAGAGGUGCACACACCCUUCAAGCGUUGCCGUGAUUUAUCAGCGACUCCUCAGUUCAUGCAUCAUGAAUGUGAUAUUUAAGAACCCAGCAGCACAGGGUCAAUCUGGCCAACAUGUGAAUGCAGCACCUCCAUUCCAGAGGAGAUGUGUCUUAAAGGGCUUUAAAAGCCUCCUGUGAAAAACCUCCUGGAAUCAAACUUGACUGAAUUUGUUCAGAAUUCUGAGAAAACAAACAUAGGCUCACCCUGCAUGGUUGAAAGUCUCCUUUGCUAAUCUGCAGCAAGGGGCCCAUUUUAAUAAUUAGUGUUUCUAGUGUGUUCUAGGCAUUAAAAGUAGCACAAAUAUAUAGUAUUCAAUGUAUAUCAUUAUAUAUUGUGAAGUGUGUGUGUGUGUGUGUGUGUGUGUGUGUAUUCAGUGAAAUGUAUUUCUUGGCAGCAUACUUAUUUUGAAAUAUCAGACUUAAAUCCUUGGAAGCCUGGGGUGUGUGGAGGCCCUGGACUUUGUGGGGGAGGGCAUUUUAAAAUCUCUUCUCAGGGCCCACUCCAACCUUGCUACACCCCUGAGCGCAUUUGGCUCCGCUCUUAGAGCUCUUCUUCGAAAACGGAGCACAAUGCAGAGAGCUUCACCAUUGAAAAGGGAGCUGCAUCUGCUGUCCACAGAGCCACCACCGGGUAUUACUUGCUGGCAGACUGGAAGUCACUUAGAUGAACUUCAAGCUCAAAUCCUUGGUUUUGCAAAUACACCAUAUGAAAAAGGAAUUUUUGACUUGGAAAUAGUUGUGCCUGAAAGGUAUCCAUUUGAGCCUCCAAAGAUGCGCUUCCUGACUCCUUUUAAAAAAGGUUUUACUCCCAUAUAAUUCUUCUCUUCUCAUUUGCUCAAUUUUGUACAUCUGUUUUUUGUAUGUUUUGAAUGAGGACAGAAAUGUGAGAAUAAAAGUCCCCUGCCAACUGGGCAAAGAGGCACCUUUUUCUCUUUGUAAACCGCGCUGAGCCAUUUUUGGAAGGGCGAUAUAGAAAUCAAAUUUUUUAUUAUUAUUAUUAUUAUUAUUAUUAUUAUUAUUAUUAAAAAAUUUCUCUGCGGGGGGGGCCCAUUUAAGAAUCUUGUCUCAGGGCCCACUCCAACCUAGUUACGCCCCUGCUUCAGUUGUAUUCAUUCUCCCAAAUUGAUGUGAGUGUUAAGACCUGGAGCUACCAGAACAGCAUGUCUUUCUCUAGUACCAUUAAAUGACUUGCAUCGUCCACAAUUUACAAAACCUUUUAAAAAAUAAUUUAGGAUGAUGUUCUAUUGUGGCACAUAGGUUAUAUAUAUAACUUCAGUAAACAGGGGCCCCAUUUAAAAACCUUGUCUCUGGGCCUACUCCAACCUUGCUACGCCCCUGGUACUCCAAGUGUGACCACACCAUAGUUUUGUAGAAGGGCAGUGACUACAGUAAUCGACUACACUGCAUUGACUACAGUAAUCAAGUGACAAGGGAGACUCUUAGCAGCAAGAGGGUGGGGAAGAGAACAUUUUGCUCAGAGACUGGAGAGAAUAUUAAAGAGUAUUGUUCCUUAGCUUAUUAACUUGCCGUUUACUAUGCAGGAACUGAUAUUAAAAAUGCUUUAAUGCUUACUGAAGCAGGGUAUACGGUACCUAACAGCAUGUUAUUUUGUGCACACUAUUUAACAUUCUUUAUUGCUCCAACUCAUAAGGUUUAUUUGAAAUCAGUGGAGGAAUUCAACCCAUCUCACAUUUACUCAGCUAUUAUCAGCCACUGCAAAAGUGCCAAGCGUAGGGGCAUAAACACAGCUGGACCUGUAGAAUUUAAUAAGGAACUACGUUGUUUUGAGAGAGAGAGAGAGAGAGAGAGAGAUAGAAUCGGCAAAGCUGGCUGCGGAGAUCUUGGGGGCAAAUGCAUGGAAGGCCUGAAUGAAAGAAAUGCUAAAAAUAUCGGUUCUGCACUAUGAAAACCAUCACCACUGAGAUUUCACUCUAUGGGCUGGUUCAGACAUCAUGUGGAACCUCGUUAGAGCUGUGCUCCAUGCAGGGGCCUGUGUCUUUGCUGAUGAAUAGAGAUGCCAGAUCAGAAUGCUGAGGAGCCCCUCGGGGAUCUUUGUGGCAGAGACCUAUGGGAGGAGCAGCAGCAGCAGCAACAGCAACAGCAGCUGCAUAUGAUUCUUCAAUGACACAUGGAGGCUUCAACAGUGCCCCCUGAUUGACAGCAUCGAAGGCAAUCCAUUGAUCAGGAAGCCUUGGCGUGAGGCUUUGAACACAUCUAAUUAUCACUGUGCAAAAUAAGAUGCUGUCGUUCUGUGCAUGGAACUAGGGACCUCUUACACAAAUUCUCAUCACCUUCAUCAAAGGACAAUUCUCAGGAUUCUUUUGGGGAAGCCAUUGCAGUUAAACUGGUAUAAAACUACACACAUUUGUACUCGAGAUAAACCACGAAUUUCUGCUUCCCCGCAUGGGCAGCUUUGGGUAGUUGUGUCCACUUCAAAUAAAAGGUGGGGGAAAUAAUCUGUUUGGUUGCUCUCUUAUAUAUAUUUUUUCAAGAUCUGCAUGUAGAGACAGAGUACUUCAAGGAGAAAAAAGAAAAAACAAUGGGGGUGGGAAUCCCAGCUGAACAUCAAGCAUCUUCUGGAAGUAGCUCACUGUGUCUGAGGAAGGGCAUUGCUUGCUUAAAAAUUAGAUACAGAAGGAAGAUCUGGAACGUAAAGGCAUGGCCUACUCUCAGUGGGUCACAGGCUGACUGCAUCAUGCAAGAAGAAGGAUAUUACACUUGUGCAUGGGGGAGGGAUGAUUUGUGCAGAUCCCCUCCUCCCUGUGCUGCCCCGAUGCCUCUCAAAUAUAGCCUCAAGGGUAGGUGUGUGCACGGGACCAGUUUGGCCAGUUCAGUUCAAAUCUGAACUGGAAUCUUACUGGCCUAGUCCAGUUCCACAUCUGGUUAAACUGGGCCGAACUGUUUCAUGGGAUAUACUUGUAAAAAACAAUCCAGUGUGGAUUACAAGUAAAAGGGCAUUUCCGAGGUGGAGGCAGUGAGAGGGGGCUAGAAAGCUGCUUAUUUACCCUGGUGGCUCAGUAAAGGAGGGGGGGCUGCUUGCUGCACUGGGAGGGCGAGCAGUGGUGAGCAGCUGGGAUAAGUAAGCAGAUUUUUCCCCUCUCACCUCCACUGCCUCAGGAAUGCUCCUUACCAUCCCGAUCCAGUUUGCCCCAAAAAAGGCCCGGUUCAGUUCGAUCACAGACCAAACUACCCCCAGUUUGGUCCAUGAUCAAACCUUCGAACUGGCCCUGGUUCAAGGCAAACUGGUUUCGGACAAACUGUCUGUGCACACCCCUACUCAAGCUUGGGUGGGGGGCAUUCAGGGAUAUAUUUUGUGGAACAUGAAGAGCAGCAGAAGGAAGGAGUGAUUGGUGAAAAACGCACUUUCCUUCCAUGGAUGAGUGAAACAUCCUUCCGCGCACUUGAUACUAGGUAGUGAUAGAAAUGCUGCUGAAGGCAACACAGUCAGUUCAGUGGGAGAAGUUCUGAGUGGGACUACAAUCCACAGAAGUCUGCUUGUUCUCUCAGCAACCCCACAAGCUUCCCAGGCUGCCCAAGGUCACUCCUAGCCCACCCCCCACCUCCUGUUGGUGGGGACUGGGAAUUCCCUUUUUCCAAGCACAGCCCUACUAAAUAUAAGAAAUCACUACUUUAAAAGGUGUGUUUUUGGGCAAGUGAGAAGUUAUGAAUGUUCUGGACCAAGAAAACAGGCAGUGACUGGUUAAUAUCCUGAAUAACACUGCAUGCACGCAGCCAACAGGCUUACACAUGCAGCUGAUGCACUCCUGCUUCUGAAGCAUGAAUGUUCGUGCACAGAAGAGGACAAUUUUCACUGAUCUCACUUUCCCCUGGAGAAUGACUACUAUGUCCCUGAGGAUCAUGCAGCCCUCAGGGACAUAACUGCUUGUGAUACAGAGGGGGAAGAGGAGAUAAGCAAAAUUCCCCUCAUGGGCAAGCACCCACGCUUCAGAAGAAAGAGCCAAUCUCUGCUUUCCUGCUUUGUUUGGUUGCAAGGAUGCUGGCCAUUAUUUUUCCAGAAAGAAAGAAAGAAAAAAAAGGAAGGAAGGAAGGAAGCAUGCAUGCAUUUGUGGGAGGGUGACCCCAAUCUCUUUGUCCUCUAUUAGAAGUAAUAUUAAGCAAUAUUGGUUAUUUUAAAAUUAUGACAGCAAUUUUAAAACAUCUUUUCUGAUACUACCAUCUCCUUCCACUCCCUCUCCUCACGCACAUAUUCAGAGUUAAUAAAGUUACCUGGAAUAUUGAAUGCUGCCUGCAGGGUGUUCACUUGAGUCAUUACUGCUGAUUCUUAGUAAUUUUCUUCACCCUGAGGGUGGCAGUUUAACAUUGUGACCCCCCUCCUCCCCUCCCCUCCAUGAAGCUUUUUACAUUUCUAUAAGCCUUUCAGAAUAAGCCAAGGACUGUGAUUAUGCCGGUGUAAAAAUAGACUUCGGCGCUGAAAAUCACAUUCGUUGUCAUCUGGGUAGUCCACACAAUAGACAGGUAGAUUGUGCGUACAUCUAGUAAGAUGGGAGGCAAACUGAUGGAAAGGUCAACCACAUCUAUAAUCAGCUGAUUCUUAAUACACGUGAAUACUUAAGACAUUUGUUGUGUUUUGCCGUAAUGGCCCUGACAAUAUAGUUACAGGACAUGUGAAGCAAAGGUUCCUUGCCAGUCUCUCAUGCCCAAGGCUAAUUUCUCCAUGACUUAAUGAGACUCCAUUUAAAAACUUAUCAGUUCGGUGUAGAAGUGCCUGUUUAGAAUAUGGUGCUGGGAAUGAAUUGUGUGCGGGGUAUUUUCUAUUCAUAUCUGCAGGAGAGGGGGUUGUUUCACUGCUCCAGUCUGAAAAAUGAGCAGAAUUAGAGGUUCCACUGUAGCAGCAUAAUGGCUCAACAACACAUCAGAGCAGAGGAAGGUAAAUUAGGUCAGCCUCAGCCACAUGCACUCAGACAAGACAAUGUAAUUUAGAAGAUAGUCAUGUUAAAUAUAACUCCAGCAGUGGGAUCAGGGGCUGUCUGUCUAGCUCUAUGGGAUUUCCGCAGAUAUCAGGCAUGUUUUAUUUAUUUGUUUUAUUUUUUAUCCUAUUUCUAUACUGCCUGCAAGUUAAAACAUAGCGAGUGUAAAACAAUAUACGAAACAGUUAAAAUCCACAAGACAAAGUAAAAAACAAUCUCAAAAGUUAGUUAGUUCUCUUCAGAAGAAACCUCAGUUAGUUCUAAAUGCAGCAGCCAGAUUGGUCUCU
Long non-coding RNA from Hemicordylus capensis (graceful crag lizard), 6010 nucleotides. RefSeq lists it as uncharacterized. The transcript is spliced from 7 exons. The record is from RefSeq and is a predicted model, not a curated record. NCBI's taxonomy places the organism in Eukaryota, Metazoa, Chordata, Lepidosauria, Squamata, Cordylidae.